This 331-nucleotide ribosomal RNA is filed under the name uncultured bacterium. RNAcentral's name for it is "bacterial SSU rRNA". It matches the Rfam family "Bacterial small subunit ribosomal RNA", at positions 568 to 898 of the family's 1533-position model. The record is from RNAcentral.
CGCGUAGGCGGCGUGUUAAGUCAGUUGUGAAAUCUCCAAGCUUAACUUGGAACGGUCAACUGAUACUGAUGUGCUAGAGUGCAGAAGGGGCAACCGGAAUUCUUGGUGUAGCGGUGAAAUGCGUAGAUAUCAAGAGGAACACCUGAGGUGAAGACGGGUUGCUGGGCUGACACUGACGCUGAGGCGCGAAAGCUAGGGUAGCAAACGGGAUUAGAUACCCCGGUAGUCCUAGCCCUAAACGAUGAAUACUUGGUGUCUGGAGUUAUUUUCUCCGGGUGCCGUCGCUAACGUUUUAAGUAUUCCGCCUGGGGAGUACGCACGCAAGUGUGAA